GGACCGGUAGCUCAGCGGUAGAGCGUGGGAUUGCAGUUAAGCAGUAUAACAACUAUCCUAAGGUCACGCGUUCGACCCGCGUUCGGUCCU
RNAcentral lists this transfer RNA (90 nucleotides) under Daldinia bambusicola. RNAcentral's name for it is "tRNA-Cys". It matches the Rfam family "tRNA". From Rfam's summary of the family: Transfer RNA (tRNA) molecules are approximately 80 nucleotides in length. Their secondary structure includes four short double-helical elements and three loops (D, anti-codon, and T loops). The record is from RNAcentral. Lineage: Eukaryota; Fungi; Ascomycota; Sordariomycetes; Xylariales; Hypoxylaceae.